CCUCAAACCCUCAAAUCCUUAAAAAAUAAUUGCUUUUUUACAGUUUGCGAGCAAAAAAACGCGUAGACUAGAACCCCUUAACCCUCAAACCCUCAAAAAAAUUUGAGGAUCCAACCCUCAAACUCCCUCCCAACCUGUAGAAGUGAGGGUUGGGGAGCGAAAACUACCCCAGCCCUCAAACCGUUCCAUCGUCGCGCGGGAGGGACUUUUCCCCGUCCCCAACCGCCGCCGCCAUUCCGGCCACCCGCCCGCCGCCAUUCCGACCGAGCCGCGCGACCGCCCCCGCCGCCCCAAGCCGCCGCCGCGCCCCN
Molecule: long non-coding RNA, 311 nt
Filed under: Hordeum vulgare
Lineage: Eukaryota; Viridiplantae; Streptophyta; Magnoliopsida; Poales; Poaceae
Description: long non-coding RNA (HVUL_LNC010640)
Source: RNAcentral